GAGUUUUGAUCCUGGCUCAGGAUGAACGCUAGCUACAGGCUUAACACAUGCAAGGUCGAGGGGAAACGACAUCGAAAGCUUGCUUUUGAUGGUCGUCGACCGGCGCACGGGUGAGUAACGCGUAUCCAACCUGCCCACCACGUUGGGGAUAACCUUGCGAAAGUAAGACUAAUACCCAAUGAUAUCUCUAGAAGACAUCUGAAAGAGAUUAAAGAUUUAUCGGUGAUGGAUGGGGAUGCGUCUGAUUAGCUUGUUGGCGGGGUAACGGCCCACCAAGGCAACGAUCAGUAGGGGUUCUGAGAGGAAGGUCCCCCACAUUGGAACUGAGACACGGUCCAAACUCCUACGGGAGGCAGCA
Molecule: ribosomal RNA, 358 nt
Filed under: uncultured bacterium
Lineage: Bacteria
Description: bacterial SSU rRNA
Rfam family: Bacterial small subunit ribosomal RNA
Source: RNAcentral